CCUACGGGUGGCAGCAGUGAGGAAUAUUGGUCAAUGGACGAGAGUCUGAACCAGCCAAGUAGCGUGAAGGAUGACUGCCCUAUGGGUUGUAAACUUCUUUUAUAUGGGAAUAAAACGUUCCACGUGUGGGAUUUUGUAUGUACCAUAUGAAUAAGGAUCGGCUAACUCCGUGCCAGCAGCCGCGGUAAUACGGAGGAUCCGAGCGUUAUCCGGAUUUAUUGGGUUUAAAGGGAGCGUAGGUGGAUUGUUAAGUCAGUUGUGAAAGUUUGCGGCUCAACCGUAAAAUUGCAGUUGAAACUGGCAGUCUUGAGUACAGUAGAGGUGGGCGGAAUUCGUGGUGUAGCGGUGAAAUGCUUAGAUAUCACGAAGAACUCCGAUUGCGAAGGCAGUUCACUGGACUGCAACUGACACUGAGGCUCGAAAGUGUGAGUAUCAAACAGGAUUAGAUACCCUAGUAGUC
This 460-nucleotide ribosomal RNA is filed under the name uncultured bacterium. RNAcentral's name for it is "partial 16S ribosomal RNA". It matches the Rfam family "Bacterial small subunit ribosomal RNA", at positions 338 to 795 of the family's 1533-position model. The record is from RNAcentral.